Molecule: non-coding RNA, 4311 nt
Organism: Cyanistes caeruleus (blue tit)
Lineage: Eukaryota; Metazoa; Chordata; Aves; Passeriformes; Paridae
Source: RefSeq, a predicted model, not a curated record
UCUCAUAGCCCUGCACAGGCUGCAGAGCUGCCCAGAGCACAACAGGAGCAGGUUUUUGGGGACAUUUGAGCUCUGUCUUGAACUCAAGGUGUUCAAAACCAUGAAACUGGGGCUGCUAGUCCUAAUCUGCCUCAUUUAAAUCAGAUUAAGGCUCAUGGAGGUGUGACUCAAUGAUCUCCUGUUCCUGAAGCAACAAGGACUGAACUCCAGAGGGACCCAGAGGAUGGGAUGCUCAGAUCCCUCCUUCCUGCUGCUGACAGAAUGGAGUGCAACGCUGGGCAUCCCUGCACGUUGGUGUGAGCAUUAAAGCAGGAACAGAGCUGAGGGAAGAUGGGAAGGAUGGCUUGGGAUGCUGCCACAAAGAAAAGAUGGGCUUGUACCCAGCACCCCACAGGAAAUGGCUUGAGCAAGGUUAUGGAAGCAUAUUGUGCUUAAAUGUUUUCAAGGUCAGAUCUUCAAAUGAUUCUUAUCUUUAUUCAUCAGAUACUCCCUAAACACUUAUUUUUCUACAUAAUAUCUAUAAUAUCUCCUGGCUCUAUGCUGAUGCUACUCAUUUAAAUACACAUGGAAGUUAUGUAUAACAACGACACAGAAAAUGCAGUGCUCUCCCAUUAGGGGCAUAUUUUGCCAUUCCUGCUACUUUCCAAAUCAAUUACUUAGUAAGAAAUCAUGCAAAAGGCGAAGGCAAUCCAAAGAGACUUAUAAAGUUCUUAUUCUUGUUACACCCAGGAUGAAGCUACAGGAUAUCUGAAUUACUCCCAUAUGGCAUAAAAUCUGAAGCAAUAGGCUAUUGUGAUACAAGAUAUUCAAACCAGCUACCAAAUCGCUCCCUUUGGCUAUCAGUGAUCAGAGAUGACUGGAUGUGCUUUUCUUUUGAACAUGAAAGUGAAAUCAGCUCCAUUGCUGAUGGGACAAAAUGCAUAUGCAGCAAAGGGGGGACUGCUUUGUCCCUCAGAUGCAGGAGAGGUUCUUGGAGCUCUUGGAGCUCCUGUUCUUGUCCUGAUACUUUCUCCCUGAGGACUUCAAAGAGGCACACCUUACCUUUGCAAAGGAGCAAGAAACGUGAAAGGGUAAGGGAUCUGGGGGAGGAAACUGAGGGGGAAAGCGUGGCAGAUCCAUAAUCACGAGACAGGAGUUUACAGUGGGAAUAGCGACCAUGAAUAAUGCAACAAUUCUCCCCCUGGAGAGAGGGAGGCCUUGAGAUUCCUCCAGAUCUAAUGGCUGAAACAGCCCUUUUUUCAGGUGCCACAUCUGUCUCCAUUUGCAUGCUCAUUUGAUCAGAUCCUGGAGAUAGAAACUCUGUGCCGUUCAAAAUUAGGACCACAAGGAACCUGCAGAACACUGCAAGCCCUGCAAGGGUAAAGUCAGGGGGUUUCCAACCCAUGAAAGGUCCAAAGAGCAGAUAAAGCCCUUGCACAUGUCCCAUGGAUACAGUGGAAUGCAAAAAGACAUCAAAAGGUUAAAACAACUUUCAGGGUCAUGGAUGACUUGAGGCACACUGAGGACACCAGGACUGUGCAGCCUAAAAAAGAGAUGAAUGCCAGGUGGCUGGCAGAAAUACAUAAAAUCAGGAAUGUUUUGGAGAGGGGGAAAAAGGUUAAUAAUGAUACAUGUUCUUUAUUUCUCAAAAGCCAAGAUUUAGGGGAACACCCAGGAAUGAACAAGCAGUGGGUUUGACAGCAGAGCUGCAUUUUCCCAGGUGACACAGCAUUAAGUCCUGGAACUCUGUGCCAGAUGAGCCUCAGUAUAAAUGAUUUUUUGAGACCACUGAUAUCCAGGAGGAUGCUCUGCUGCUGGCUGUUAAACACAAUGCUCUGGUUGCAAACUGUGGCAGAGGAAACUUUACAUUAAACAGCAUCAAAGCAGGAGGCAGAAUCUUUUAAACUCUCCCUUAAAUGGCUUCGAUACCCAAUUAUCAGGCAGCACACACUGGGUAGCUCAGUCUUUGGUUGUGCUCACUGUAGCACCUUUUGUGUUCCUAAGUUAAGUUCAAAAAGAGGCACCUCCUCUAUAGCUCAUGACAAGUGAAACCCACAAAUAAGGACUUUUAUCACUUGGCAUCUGUGUUACACAGCCUGGGAUUUUCAGCCAUUGCCCUACAAACAUGCUCUGCAUGCUCAGCCCUGAAGGGAUAAGGGUUAAUUCACUACCAGCUGCAUUCAACCAAAUGUUUAAUCCAUACAAGCACAGUAUUAAAAACAAGGUGUGAACUUAGAGCCAACUUACCCUCCCUUUCACUUUGACCUUCUACAGCAGCAUGUGAGUGAGCCUUUCAUUAUUUCUGGGAGAAAACAGGUAGUUUGUAAAAGAUAUUUCAGCAGCAUACUGAAAGUCCAAACCCUGAUGGACUGUGAUGUGAAAUAACUUGUCUGGUGCAGUAGUUUGCUCUCAUCUACACAGAAAAGCCUCAAACCAGACAAAGCAUGAGUCUGCUUUCGCUCAUUUCUUUAAAUAAGCCCCCAGCUUUCAAAAAAUGUUUGAUUUCCUCCUUUUGUACUUGGCUUCAAUGAUGAUUAAGCUCUCAAGGGGCUGCUAUGCUUGUCAUGCACUGUUUUUUUCUGAUGGAUAUUACACAAACUCCAUGCACAAAUUCAUUUUUCCUGCCCUCCCUCUUCCAUGUUAAAAAUUACAAGCAGAUGAGAUGCUAAGAGGAGAGAGUUUAUAAUUGUAAUUGGACUAUUCACACAAAAUGCAGACUUUGCUUUAUCUUUUGCAUAGUUAAAAUUUUGGUGUGCCUUUUAAAACAUAACUAAAUAGAGAUAUCUUAAAGAUAACAAUCUAGUUAUUAUUUUUCAAUUAUUUGAGGAAGGUUGGAUUUGGUUUUGUUGGUUCUUUUGAUUUGAUUUUUCCUGUGGGGUUUCCAUCUUUUCCUCAGAAAUAACACACUCUCCGUGAUGAUUACCUGUGGUCAGGUUUGGAAUCCUGAAGCAAGAGGCCAGUUCUGCUCUUGCUUACUUGGAGUAAUGCCAUUAAAAGCUCUGUGUCUGACUAUUCCCUGAUGUAACUGGGGAUAUCCACAGUCCACACACACACUUUCAAAAGACUAUUUUGAUUAAUUCCAGAUUAGAACAGAGCUUCCUGGGAGGGAUUUUCUGCUCUGUGGGUUUCUCUGCCCACACCAACAGCGAGUGCUCUUCUGUCUUGAGAACUGCUUUUUCCUUCCUCAACUGUUCUCCAAUGUGAAUUUGAAAGUCGUGCAUGGACAGACUCCAGAUUUCAAACUCAUGCAGCCCUCCAUGCCAGAACCACCAGAGCCUCAGGGAAUGUAACAAACACAACUCAUGAGAACAACCAGAUGACAGCUUAUUAAUACACCCUGAAUGUUUUCUGCUUGUAGAGAAAACUUGCGCUGCCAGCGCAGGGAGCUCACGUGAUUCUCCAAGAGAAGAUCUCCCAGUUGUUACAGGCAAGACACAGACAUCAACUCCACUUCUGUUCCACCAAGGGUUAACUGGACUCCAGAGCAGAAUGCAAGAGAAAGGAAUGUAAAGCAAGAUGGGAGGCAAAGGAAAGGAGGAUUCCCAUCCUUCUGGUAGAAUUAAUCAGCAGCUCUUUUGUCAUCUCCCAAACUCAGGAGCAUCCCCCACCUUGGAGAAGUUUCCUUCCAAGCCAAUGAUUGGCAAUGUGCAGAGAGUGGCAGAGCUGCUGCUGACACCAGCAGGAGAAUCAGAGACCCGAGUGAGAACAGUCUUGAGGAUGAGCCUGGGUAAUUUAGGCUGUCUGUAGACUCCAGCAAACAUCAUUUCUGCUGGAGCACUUAUGGAGAACACUCCCCUGAGUGGGAGACAGAGGGCUGUCCAUGACCUGUCAAAAAAUCCUCGCUAAGGCAUAAAGCAGACUGGAGCCCUACUGCCUCAAAACUGGAGCCCUGGAAACCUCAAAAAGGGGAAUGUUAUCCUUUUUUGAUUAGCUGCUUUCAUGCUUCCUUUGGAGUCAGUACUGCAAAAUGACACUGACCUGCACUGGCAUUUCCAAAAGAAAGCUUGGGACUGGAAUGGCUGCACAUGGUGCUGGUCAGGAUUAGGUGUUUUAACAGAGGUUGGAGAUCCCUGCAGCAGAUGUGCUGCUUUCACUGAAUUCCAGGAAUGUGCCAUUGAUCCUGCUGCUCCCCAGAGCCUGCACUCGCUCUGUGCUCGUGCAGUCAUCCCAGCAGAGGUGUCUGCAGGGGAGCCCAGCCCAAGCCAGAAAGUGAUUUCUGCAGAAAUGGUCAAAUUCCAUGGUAGAAUAAUGCACAUGGAGGAAAAAAAAAAUAAAGACGAAGUACCAAAGCACCCAAAGUACAGUGGCUUUAAAAAAUAGUAGCAAUAAAGG